This 298-nucleotide signal recognition particle RNA is filed under the name Aotus nancymaae (Ma's night monkey). Its description in RNAcentral is "Metazoan signal recognition particle RNA (ENSANAG00000009768.1)". It matches the Rfam family "Metazoan signal recognition particle RNA". Rfam says of the family: The signal recognition particle (SRP) is a universally conserved ribonucleoprotein. The record is from RNAcentral. Lineage: Eukaryota; Metazoa; Chordata; Mammalia; Primates; Aotidae.
GCCGGGCGCGGUGGCACGUGCCUGUAGUCCCAGCUACUCAGGAGGCUGAGGUGGGAGGAUCGCUUGAGCCCAGGAGUUCUGGGCUGUAGUGCGCUAUGCCAAUUGGGUGUCCUCACUAAGUUCAGCAUCAAUAUGGUGACCUCCCGGGAGCGGGGGACCACCAGGUUGUCUAAGGAGGGUGAAGCGCCAGGUCAGAAAAAGGAGCAGUGUCAAAACUCCCGUACUGAUCAGUAGUGGGAUCGCGCCUGUGAAUAGCCACUGCACUCCAGCCUGGGCAACAUAGCGAGACCCCGUCUCA